ACGUUUUUUUCAUAGAGAUUUAGAUUUAAGGUUAGAAGAAUUGUGGAAGUCGUGAGACUUCCCUUUUUUUCAUCUUAACGUUUACUAUUCUUUGUUUGUAUCACUUGUAUUUGAGUAUGAAAAAUGGGGAAUAAGUAAACUUGAAAAGCCCUCUUCGUGAGAAGAGGCUUUUUU
RNAcentral lists this small RNA (174 nucleotides) under Bacteroides acidifaciens. RNAcentral's name for it is "Bacteroides sRNA BTnc231". It matches the Rfam family "Bacteroides sRNA BTnc231". From Rfam's summary of the family: An uncharacterized small RNA discovered in Bacteroides thetaiotaomicron The record is from RNAcentral. RNAcentral also lists the same sequence under 1 other name. Lineage: Bacteria; Pseudomonadati; Bacteroidota; Bacteroidia; Bacteroidales; Bacteroidaceae.